RNAcentral lists this unclassified non-coding RNA (378 nucleotides) under rhizosphere metagenome. RNAcentral describes it as "partial ribosomal RNA internal transcribed spacer region". The record is from RNAcentral.
GUAGGCGAACCUGCGGAAAAAUCAUUAACUCGUAUCCAACGUUAAACCCCUGUGAACCUUAAGACGCCGCUCCUAGGGCUCAGUCGCGAAAACUAGCAAUCCCCUGUACUCGUCCGAGAAAUGUAAGGGGUGGCAGUGCACCCUAGUCAGAGCGCUUGGAGUUAGUGGCCUGUUUUUCCCCAAGCUGCCAAUGAGUGAAAGUGUCAUUGGUUUGUUUCGCCUAAACAGCGAUCACUGUAGGUCGAUCACCGACCGGUGAAAUAAGCAACAGAAGCUUUAAUGCUUCCCUCACCGCCCAACUAUUGCCGCCUGCCGCUAACAACGCCGGGUAUUUAAAAACGUACUAAACAACUGUUAACAAUGGAUAUCUUGGUUCUC